GAUGAACGCUGGCGGCGUGCCUAACACAUGCAAGUCGUACGAGCUCGAUCUUCGGAACGGGUUAGUGGCGCACGGUGAGUAACACGUAGGUGACCUACCCCAGAGUGGGGGAUAACUUCUCGAAAGAGAGGCUAAUACCGCAUACACUCGGUCAUUCAUUUGGCCGAGCAAAGCUCCGGCGCUUUGGGACGGGCCUGCGUCCGAUUAGCUAGUUGGUAGGGUAAUGGCUUACCAAGGCUUUGAUCGGUAGCUGGUCUGAGAGGACGAUCAGCCACACUGGCACUGACACACGGGCCAGACUCCUACGGGAGGCAGCAGUGAGGAAUAUUGGGCAAUGGCGAAAGACCUGACCCAGCAACGCCGCGUGAGGGAUGAAGGCCUC
RNAcentral lists this ribosomal RNA (382 nucleotides) under uncultured bacterium. Its description in RNAcentral is "bacterial SSU rRNA". It matches the Rfam family "Bacterial small subunit ribosomal RNA", at positions 28 to 418 of the family's 1533-position model. The record is from RNAcentral.